RNAcentral lists this transfer RNA (74 nucleotides) under archaeon. Its description in RNAcentral is "tRNA-Arg". It matches the Rfam family "tRNA". From Rfam's summary of the family: Transfer RNA (tRNA) molecules are approximately 80 nucleotides in length. Their secondary structure includes four short double-helical elements and three loops (D, anti-codon, and T loops). Further hydrogen bonds mediate the characteristic L-shaped molecular structure. tRNAs have two regions of fundamental functional importance: the anti-codon, which is responsible for specific mRNA codon recognition, and the 3' end, to which the tRNAs corresponding amino acid is attached (by aminoacyl-tRNA synthetases). tRNAs cope with the degeneracy of the genetic code in two manners: having more than one tRNA (with a specific anti-codon) for a particular amino acid; and 'wobble' base-pairing, i.e. permitting non-standard base-pairing at the 3rd anti-codon position. The record is from RNAcentral. RNAcentral also lists the same sequence under 3 other names.
GGGCGUAUAGUGUAGCUUGGAUAUCACUUUGGCCUUCUAAGCCGAAAACUCGGGUUCGAAUCCUGAUACGCCCG